AAAUUGAAGAGUUUGAUCAUGGCUCAGAUUGAACGCUGGCGGCAGGCCUAACACAUGCAAGUCGAACGGUAGCACAGAGAGCUUGCUCUCGGGUGACGAGUGGCGGACGGGUGAGUAAUGUCUGGGAAACUGCCCGAUGGAGGGGGAUAACUACUGGAAACGGUAGCUAAUACCGCAUAACGUCGCAAGACCAAAGUGGGGGACCUUCGGGCCUCACACCAUCGGAUGUGCCCAGAUGGGAUUAGCUAGUAGGUGGGGUAACGGCUCACCUAGGCGACGAUCCCUAGCUGGUCUGAGAGGAUGACCAGCCACACUGGAACUGAGACACGGUCCAGACUCCUACGGGAGGCAGCAGUGGGGAAUAUUGCACAAUGGGCGCAAGCCUGAUGCAGCCAUGCCGCGUGUAUGAAGAAGGCCUUCGGGUUGUAAAGUACUUUCAGCGAGGAGGAAGGCGUUGUGGUUAAUAACCACAGCGAUUGACGUUACUCGCAGAAGAAGCACCGGCUAACUCCGUGCCAGCAGCCGCGGUAAUACGGAGGGUGCAAGCGUUAAUCGGAAUUACUGGGCGUAAAGCGCACGCAGGCGGUUUGUUAAGUCAGAUGUGAAAUCCCCGGGCUCAACCUGGGAACUGCAUUUGAAACUGGCAAGCUUGAGUCUCGUAGAGGGGGGUAGAAUUCCAGGUGUAGCGGUGAAAUGCGUAGAGAUCUGGAGGAAUACCGGUGGCGAAGGCGGCCCCCUGGACAAAGAGUGACGCUCAGGUGCGAAAGCGUGGGGAGCAAACAGGAUUAGAUACCCUGGUAGUCCACGCCGUAAACGAUGUCUACUUGGAGGUUGUGCCCUUGAGGCGUGGCUUCCGGAGCUAACGCGUUAAGUAGACCGCCUGGGGAGUACGGCCGCAAGGUUAAAACUCAAAUGAAUUGACGGGGGCCCGCACAAGCGGUGGAGCAUGUGGUUUAAUUCGAUGCAACGCGAAGAACCUUACCUGGUCUUGACAUCCACGGAAGUUUUCAGAGAUGAGAAUGUGCCUUCGGGAAC
Molecule: ribosomal RNA, 1035 nt
Filed under: Salmonella enterica subsp. enterica serovar Kentucky
Lineage: Bacteria; Pseudomonadati; Pseudomonadota; Gammaproteobacteria; Enterobacterales; Enterobacteriaceae
Description: bacterial SSU rRNA
Rfam family: Bacterial small subunit ribosomal RNA
Source: RNAcentral